ACCAAAAGAUGACUUUAACAGAACUCCAUCCCUCUGAUGCCUUCUGUCCUAAACUGCUGUGUUACAACCUAAGGGCAGCGAUCAGCUCACGGCUGCUACAACAGCAUUUCCACCCUGCAGCACGCCCACACGUAGAGACAAUGGCAGUGAGUAGGAAGGAGAGGAGCAAGCAGAAAAAAAAAGGCAGGCUGGCAGGGAGCAAGAGUGGUUCUGUAACAGGACUCUGUUCUGACGGAACGGUUAUGGGAAGCAUUUGCCACAUCCCCCUGCUGCAAGGUCCAUGGAAAAGAGGACCAACAGAAAACACUGGAAAACUACUGCACUACAUUAAGUAAAUAUAUUGUUCACAAACUAAGUGUGUAAGCUGACCCUUACUUAGUUAGUCAGCCCUUGUACCUGAGAGCGUUGCUCCCUUUCCUUCCCCAGCAUGUCUUUCUUGAUCAUGAUUUUGGGGAGAAAGUUCACUGCCUUCCCUUUCUACUGACCACUGAGUAUAUGAACUACCAAAGGCAUCAAGAAUCUGACUAUUAACGUCACAAAGCAUCUGAUCUUCAAUUACCUAACUCGUCUCUCUGAACAGUUAAGGACACUGUUCCAAUUAUGGACAAUCAGCCAGCAGUUUUCACUAUAA
Long non-coding RNA from Gallus gallus (chicken), 631 nucleotides. RefSeq lists it as uncharacterized. The transcript is spliced from 2 exons. NCBI's taxonomy places the organism in Eukaryota, Metazoa, Chordata, Aves, Galliformes, Phasianidae. The record is from RefSeq and is a predicted model, not a curated record.